UUUUGGUUAUAAAUAAUUGUUAGUGGCAGACGGGUGAGUAAUGCGUAGGAAUCUACCUAGUAGUAUGGAAUAGCCAUUAGAAAUGAUGGGUAAUACUGUAUAAUCCCUGCGGGGGAAAGAUUUAUCGCUAUUAGAUGAGCCUACGUUAGAUUAGCUAGUUGGUAAGGUAAUGGCUUACCAAGGCUAUGAUCUAUAGCUGGUCUGAGAGGACGAUCAGCCACACUGGAACUGAGAUACGGUCCAGACUCCUACGGGAGGCAGCAGUGGGGAAUAUUGGACAAUGGGCGAAAGCCUGAUCCAGCUAUGCCGCGUGAGUGAAGAAGGCCUUCGGGUUGUAAAACUCUUUCAAUAGGGAA
This 356-nucleotide ribosomal RNA is filed under the name Ehrlichia chaffeensis. RNAcentral describes it as "bacterial SSU rRNA". It matches the Rfam family "Bacterial small subunit ribosomal RNA", at positions 74 to 446 of the family's 1533-position model. Lineage: Bacteria; Pseudomonadati; Pseudomonadota; Alphaproteobacteria; Rickettsiales; Anaplasmataceae. The record is from RNAcentral.